Molecule: long non-coding RNA, 2123 nt
Organism: Vicia villosa (hairy vetch)
Lineage: Eukaryota; Viridiplantae; Streptophyta; Magnoliopsida; Fabales; Fabaceae
Exons: 3
Source: RefSeq, a predicted model, not a curated record
AUGGAAAGAGUAUAAAAAAACGCGUGACCUGGAAGAGGAAUUAGGGUUCUGUAACCUUUCACAUUCACGCAGGAAGCCCCUUUCUCCUCAUUGAACGGCGCCGUUCUUCAAGAUCGCUCUGGAAAACGCAAGGCGCAUCUCUCCGUCUUUGUUCUGCGUGAAUCGCCGUCGUUACCUUCCAUACAGCCACCGCCGUUCAUUAUCGCCUCACCACCACAACAACCGCAACAAUCUGAAGCCGACCAUGCGUUACCACCGACCGCUCAGCCUUCUUCACUUUACCGCUGCCGAAGUUUAUAGAUCUCAGGUGUUAGCUUUUUGUACUUUGCAUCUUAUUGAUUGUUGCUUUGUGUUGUAGAUUAUAACUGGAUGAAUAGGAAAUAGAGAGAAAUUUCUCUUGUUUUGCUGAUUGAAAAGAAUGCAUUUUUUGGGAAUAAAAUGUUUUUUGUUAUGCUUUUAUGUGAAGACAAGGAAAAUGACUCUAGUAUGUGUGGUUUGACACAGAUUCAAGGUUUCAAAUAAAGUAUGUGUGGUUUGACACAGAUUCAAGCUUCAAAUAAAGUAUGUGCGGCUGAAAACGAAUUCAACUAUUUAGGUUUCGAUGUAUUCUGUAAUGUAAAGAUGGAUAAUGUUAGAUAGGUCAAGAAUAACCAGCAUACUCAUAGAGAUGCAUUUAACGAUUUUGUUCUUGACAAGAGCAUUGGCGGAGCCUAUGGAGAUGAGGAAUAUAAUUCCAGUGGUUCAGAUGUUGGAAGAACUGGAAGUAGGCUCAUUGGCGGCGUUGCAGAGACCUUAUCCGAGCAAAGAAAUGGUUUCAGCCUGAAACAUGAUUUUUUUUAAUCACGGAGCACCAAAACAUAAGGAACACUGCCAUGUCAAGGAACUGGAAAAUUGAGAGGAAGAGGAGUUUGUGUGGGAUGAGAUGAACCCUGGUUUGCCUGAACAUGUACCCUUGUCUUCAUAAUCUAACUUCUUUGUGCUUUGAAAUUGAUAAGGUUUUGUUCCUGUUUUGCUGAAGCGGUAAUAUUGUUUCUUUCUCCCUUUAUAAUAACUGCUAUGUCUUCUUAGUUCUGUCAAUAUUCCUUCUAGAACCAUCGAUCGAAUUCUGUUAGAAAUUCGGACAACCCAAACCCAACCCAAAUAGAAAUCGAUUGAGUUUGAUGCAAACUGGAAAAAAAUGGUGAACUACAUGCUGAUGAUCAGUGCUGAACUCGAGAAUUUGACCAUUAUAUUGAAUUCUUCAAGGUAUUACAAUAUCUUUUUUAUUUUCUUCAACAUGCUUUUUUCUUCCUCUCUAUUUUAAUAUUAAUUUCUUUAUCUUUGUGAUGAUGACGAUGAUAGUUGAAAUGUGGAAGAUGUGGUGAAUUGAUCCAAAAAGAAACUUGUGUGUCUUUGAAUGAUACUGUUCCUCUUCCAGGUUACUACAAUAUAUGAGUAAAUAUUCACUAAAUGUCCUGUUAUAGAGUCUUUGUUAUGUCUGCCUUUAUUCAAAUGUGUAGGUCCUUUCAACAAAUUUUUAUGCUCUUGAAAUUAGUGUAUGUUAAGUUGGUGUUGGUACAAUUUUUAGUUUUGUAAUGGAGUUAUCAAGUCUUACUAUUUUAUGCUCUCUUUUACUGUUUGGUUAGUUCAUAUAUUGUUAAACUCGUUUUAUGCUUAAUAGCUUUUUUGUAGGUUAGCAACUUAGCAUGCUUCUACUCGAUUCUUUUAGAAUUAGUGAUAAUCUUUCUAUAAAAUAACAUUCAAUUCUUUUGGUUGAAUGCAUGCACUUUUUGCUUCGCUGCUCCCUUUUAAAAGAGGUUUCACACUUAUAUGUUAUUAUAUAUUUGACCAGCCUGACUUUUCUCUAUGGAUGUAGGUCAAGUACAAAUGAAGAGGAAAUAUUUGAAGUGCAGGAUACGAUCACUUUUCCCCCUUCAACAUGAAGAGUCAGUCCUAUGUAAGAGACUACUAAGUUAGAUGGCUGAGAUUAGUAUUUAGAAUAAAUUUUAGGGAAUCCGGCUUUAGAAUAAAUUUUAAAGAACCCGACUUUAAUUAGCAGUAGAAAAUGAGGUGAUAUUUUCUAUCACAGUUUUAUAUUUAUAUGUAUUUUAGAAUCGACUCAAGUACAUUGAAUAUUUAUUUAA